RNAcentral lists this ribosomal RNA (492 nucleotides) under uncultured bacterium. Its description in RNAcentral is "partial 16S ribosomal RNA". It matches the Rfam family "Bacterial small subunit ribosomal RNA", at positions 30 to 507 of the family's 1533-position model. The record is from RNAcentral.
AUUGAACGCUGGCGGCAUGCUUUACACAUGCAAGUCGAACGGUAACAGGCCUUCGGGUGCUGACGAGUGGCGAACGGGUGAGUAAUGCAUCGGAACGUGCCCAGAGGUGGGGGAUAACGCAGCGAAAGCUGUGCUAAUACCGCAUGUGAUCUGAGGAUGAAAGCGGGGGACCAGGCAGCAAUGGUUGGCCUCGCGCCUUUGGAGCGGCCGAUGUCAGAUUAGGUAGUUGGUGGGGUAAAGGCCUACCAAGCCGACGAUCUGUAGCUGGUCUGAGAGGACGACCAGCCACACUGGGACUGAGACACGGCCCAGACUCCUACGGGAGGCAGCAGUGGGGAAUUUUGGACAAUGGGCGCAAGCCUGAUCCAGCAAUGCCGCGUGCGGGAAGAAGGCCUUCGGGUUGUAAACCGCUUUUGUACGGAACGAAAAGGCUCUGGCUAAUACCUGGGGCUGAUGACGGUACCGUAAGAAUAAGCACCGGCUAACUACGUG